RNAcentral lists this transfer RNA (67 nucleotides) under Ipomoea nil (Japanese morning glory). It matches the Rfam family "tRNA". Rfam says of the family: Transfer RNA (tRNA) molecules are approximately 80 nucleotides in length. The record is from Rfam by way of RNAcentral. Lineage: Eukaryota; Viridiplantae; Streptophyta; Magnoliopsida; Solanales; Convolvulaceae.
UUCGUUGUAGUCUAGUUGGUUAGGAUACUCGGCUCAAGAGACCCGGGUUCAAUUCCUGGCAACGGAA